GAGACUUAAGUAAAACAUUAUACCUGAGAAGGCUUAGUACUAGUUAAAGAAAAGCUGAACCUUAUGAUAGAGAAGAAGUACUGCAAAGGAAAGUUGAAAAGAUGAAAAAUUAGAUCUCCUUAAAGAAGAUAUGAACAAUCGUACCUUGUGUAUCAGGGGUUAGCAAAAUAGCCUUUUUACUAAGUGGUCCCGAAAGCAAUAGGAACUAACUCAGCAAAAUCGUUGUUGUAGCAGAAACAUGCAUAAUGUGGAGUUAGAUUUAAAACAUAAGCCGUCUUUGCUGUUACCUGGUUCCCCAAGAAGAAAAUUCAAUUUUCUCUUAUAUAGUAAAACUAACUUAGUUACUAGGAAACAUUACAUAAGAGUAACCUCUAGAGGGACGAGCUUCUAGAGGAAAAACUACAAAUGGGAAUUUUAGCUUACAUUUUCUAGGCCUAGAAACAGCCUUGAAUAGUUGUACGUUAUAGUCAAGAGGUUCACAAAAUAUUUACGAACUUUUGGUUUUUUAUUAGGGAAAGUGACAGAACAAAAUGGUCACAGAUACAAUGCUAUCAUGAGUAAAAUUGGAUGUCAGCUAGUGUAUAGAAAUAAGUAGACAUUAUUUAAGGAAAGAGAUGCGUGAAAGGAAUUAGGCAAGACACCUUCCGACUGUUUAUCAAAAACAUUUCCUCAAGAGAUAUUUGAGGUAAGACCUGCCCAAUGUAAAUAUUAAUGGCCGCGGUAUUCUGACCGUGCGAAGGUAGCAUAAUCAUUAGUCUCUUAAUUAGAGGCUGGUAUGAAUGGUUAAACGAGAAGAUGACUGUCUCUCACGUAAUAAUUGAAUUUCAUUUUUAAGUGAAAAAGCUUAAAUGUGCCUGAAGGACGAUAAGACCCUAUAGAGCUUCACUCCCCCAAAAUAUAAAUAACCAAGGAUUUAUGGACACUAUUUGACGGGAGUUGCGUUGGGGCGACGACAAGACAAAAAGUAACUCUUUAUUUUAUGAACAGGCAAAACUGAAGAGAUGAUCCUCGCGGAGAGAUCAGAUGAACAAGUUACCUUAGGGAUAACAGCGUAAUCCUUCUAAAGAGUUCACAUCGACAGAAGGGUUUGCGACCUCGAUGUUGGAUUAAGAGUUCACCAAGGUGCAGAAGCUUUGGUAGAUGGUCUGUUCGACCUUUAAUUUCUUACAUGAUCUGAGUUCAGACCGGCGUAAGCCAGGUUGGUUUCUAUCCUCAGGAUACCCAUCAAUAUUUUAGUACGAAAGGACCAAGUAUUGGAGAUUAAUCU
This 1267-nucleotide ribosomal RNA is filed under the name Leptestheria brevirostris. RNAcentral describes it as "16S ribosomal RNA". It matches the Rfam family "Bacterial large subunit ribosomal RNA". Lineage: Eukaryota; Metazoa; Arthropoda; Branchiopoda; Diplostraca; Leptestheriidae. The record is from RNAcentral.